GGGGAUGACGUCAAGUCAGCAUGGCCCUUACGUCCAGGGCUACACACGUGCUACAAUGGGCGGUACAAAGGGCUGCGAACCCGCGAGGGGGAGCGAAUCCCAAAAAGCCGCUCUCAGUUCGGAUUGCAGGCUGCAACUCGCCUGCAUGAAGCCGGAAUCGCUAGUAAUCGCGGAUCAGCAUGCCGCGGUGAAUACGUUCCCGGGCCUU
RNAcentral lists this ribosomal RNA (208 nucleotides) under uncultured Geobacillus sp. RNAcentral describes it as "partial 16S ribosomal RNA". It matches the Rfam family "Bacterial small subunit ribosomal RNA", at positions 1175 to 1382 of the family's 1533-position model. Lineage: Bacteria; Bacillati; Bacillota; Bacilli; Caryophanales; Anoxybacillaceae. The record is from RNAcentral.